RNAcentral lists this ribosomal RNA (254 nucleotides) under uncultured bacterium. RNAcentral describes it as "partial 16S ribosomal RNA". It matches the Rfam family "Bacterial small subunit ribosomal RNA", at positions 524 to 776 of the family's 1533-position model. The record is from RNAcentral.
UACGUAGGGUGCGAGCGUUGUCCGGAAUUAUUGGGCGUAAAGAGCUCGUAGGCGGUCUGUCGCGUCGAUCGUGAAAACUUGGGGCUUAACCCUGAGCUUGCGGUCGAUACGGGCAUGACUGGAGUUCGGCAGGGGAGAUCGGAAUUCCUGGUGUAGCGGUGAAAUGCGCAGAUAUCAGGAGGAACACCGGUGGCGAAGGCGGAUCUCUGGGCCAUUACUGACGCUGAGGAGCGAAAGCGUGGGGAGCGAACAGG